Molecule: ribosomal RNA, 323 nt
Filed under: uncultured eukaryote
Lineage: Eukaryota
Description: partial 18S ribosomal RNA
Rfam family: Eukaryotic small subunit ribosomal RNA
Source: RNAcentral
CCCUUAGAUGUUCUGGGCUGCACGCGUGCUACACUGAUAUUGCCAAUAUGUCAUUCUUAUCCGAAAUGGAUUGGGUAAUCAAGUAAUGAAAUUUCAUGCUUGGAAUCGGUAAUUGCAAUUUUAUCGUGAACGAGGAAUUCCUAGUAAGCACUAGUCAUCAGCUAAUGUUGAUUAUGUCCCUGCCCUUUGUACACACCGCCCGUCGCUACUACUGAUUGGGUGCUCAAGUGAGAUGCUUAGACCCUUGUUGCAUGGUUCAUUAUUGUGCUCCGAAAGGAAAAAGUUUCAAGCUUGAGUGUCUAGAGGAAGUAAAAGUCGUAACA